ACCUGAGCCAAAGUUGCACGCUUAACUGACUGAGCCACUCAGGCACCCCAACAUUUUUUUAUCCUUACCAUGGUCAGGAUUUAUCACCAAUCCUAGUGUUGUUUGAAUAGCUCUGCAUUGCUCUGAGUUUCUUCGUACCAGGAUUUCUUGUAUAUCAAUUCCUUCCAUAAAGCAAAUGAUGAGAUCUCACUUAUCUUAGAACCAUAUCUAAUAAUCCUAAUUAUUAUGGUUAUCCUGACAGUGACAACUAAGGGGAAGUUGAGAUUUAAAAAAUGGGACACCUGGGUGGCUCAGUCAGUUGGGCCUCUGACUUGGGCAUCUGACUUUGGCUCAGAUCAUGAUCUCACAUCUAGUGAGUUCAACCCGUGGACUCAAUACUGAAAGCUCAGAGCCUGUGUAGCCUGCUUUGAAUUCUGUGUCUCCCUCUCUUUUCCCCUCCCCUGCUCACACCGUGUCUCUGUCCUAUCUCUCUAUCUCUGUCUCUGUCUCUCUCUCUUUCUCUCAAACAUAAGUAAAUUAUUUUUUUUUUUUUAAAUCACAGCAGAGGUCGUGGCCUUCCAGGCUUGGUGGUAGGAUGGGCAAUGCAGAACAUGAGAAAUUAGUGUUAGCUCUGCCUUCAUGAUGGUUUCCAAUUUGUUCUCUUAAUUCAACCCUCUACUUUAAUAUUUUCUCCCAUUGUCCGUGCAGGAGCAGCCUCCUUCCCAGUAACUUUCUUUUACUCUUUUGCACAAAGUUGAUCUUUAUUUCAUGAAUUUAUUAUUUUUUUUCUCUGUUUCCUUUCCGUGGCAACUAUCAUGAUGAUAAGUUGACGAGAUCUGCAUUAAGCUGUGAGCAAGGGAAACUGGACUUUCCUUAAAAGAACAAAUUAAGGCCACUUGUAUUAAUGAACACUUCUAGAAUAUUUGACACAUCAAGAAGAACAAAGAAAGCUUGUUUGUUGCCAAUCUAGAAAAAAUUCAACAAGUGCUAUUGAUGUGCAGGCCAGAAUACAAAGACUGACUUCAGUGAACAUGUGUUACAUAUCAGACACUUUCUUCGAUGCUGCCCAAGAACUAUUUAUUGUACACCACAUCUGAGCCAUAAUUCCAGCAUUCAGAAUCUCACUGUAUUGUCAGCCGACCUGUAACCCAACAAACAAAUGCUCCACAUUAUGAUUAAUGAUAUAUCAAAGUCUGAACAAAAUGAAUGGGACACAGAGAGGGGGUGGCAAACCUCAUCCAUCAGCAGUUUUCAGGAGGUCUUCAAGGUGAUAGAGUUCAUUAACCUGGAAAACGACAAAAGAAACUGCAUGAACAAUAACAUGGAAGAUGACUGGACGGAGGAAUUAUAAAGCCAGGAGGCAUGCAUGGCACUUAAGGUUUAAGAGAGGGAGAAUAUGGUCUGCGUAAGAAAAAUGGCUUAAUGCAAAGCCUCCUGUCAACCAUUUAGGUAUUAGGAGAGUCUCCAUUUGCAACAUCAGAUUAGAACAUUUACAUGUUGUAGUAGUUACUUAGAUUAAAUAGGAAAAUUACAGCAUUACAUAUUCUAUCAA
Long non-coding RNA from Felis catus (domestic cat), 1531 nucleotides. RefSeq lists it as uncharacterized. NCBI's taxonomy places the organism in Eukaryota, Metazoa, Chordata, Mammalia, Carnivora, Felidae. The record is from RefSeq and is a predicted model, not a curated record. The transcript is spliced from 3 exons.